UGAACGCUGGCGGCGUGCCUAAUACAUGCACGUCGAGCGAACAGACGAGGAGCUUGCUCCUCUGACGUUAGCGGCGGACGGGUGAGUAACACGUGGAUAACCUACCUAUAAGACUGGGAUAACUUCGGGAAACCGGAGCUAAUACCGGAUAAUAUAUUGAACCGCAUGGUUCAAUAGUGAAAGACGGUUUUGCUGUCACUUAUAGAUGGAUCCGCGCCGCAUUAGCUAAUUGGUAAGGUAACGGCUUACCAAGGCAACGAUGCGUAGCCGACCUGAGAGGGUGAUCGGCCACACUGGAACUGAGACACGGUCCAGACUCCUACGGGAGGCAGCAGUAGGGAAUCUUCCGCAAUGGGCGAAAGCCUGACGGAGCAACGCCGCGUGAGUGAUGAAGGUCUUCGGAUCGUAAAACUCUGUUAUUAGGGAAGAACAAAUGUGUAAGUAACUAUGCACGUCUUGACGGUACCUAAUCAGAAAGCCACGGCUAACUACGUG
RNAcentral lists this ribosomal RNA (495 nucleotides) under uncultured bacterium. Its description in RNAcentral is "partial 16S ribosomal RNA". It matches the Rfam family "Bacterial small subunit ribosomal RNA", at positions 30 to 507 of the family's 1533-position model. The record is from RNAcentral.